CAGUCGCCGCGGGAAUACAGAGGGUGCAAGCGUUAAUCGGAUUUACUGGGCGUAAAGCGUGCGUAGGCGGCUUCUUAAGUCGGAUGUGAAAUCCCUGAGCUUAACUUAGGAAUUGCAUUCGAUACUGGGAAGCUAGAGUAUGGGAGAGGAUGGUAGAAUUCCAGGUGUAGCGGUGAAAUGCGUAGAGAUCUGGAGGAAUACCGAUGGCGAAGGCAGCCAUCUGGCCUAAUACUGACGCUGAGGUACGAAAGCAUGGGGAGCAAACAGGAUUAGAUACCCCAGUAGUCCCUGUCUCUUAUAC
This 301-nucleotide ribosomal RNA is filed under the name uncultured bacterium. Its description in RNAcentral is "partial 16S ribosomal RNA". It matches the Rfam family "Bacterial small subunit ribosomal RNA", at positions 509 to 807 of the family's 1533-position model. The record is from RNAcentral.